Molecule: unclassified non-coding RNA, 246 nt
Filed under: Hevea brasiliensis (rubber tree)
Lineage: Eukaryota; Viridiplantae; Streptophyta; Magnoliopsida; Malpighiales; Euphorbiaceae
Source: RNAcentral
CGCAUUCAGUCAAUUAAGGAAGAGGUAUUACUUUUUAUUACUACUAAGUUGUUGUUGACUUAUUAUCUUCUAAUAAUAAUUCUUCAUAGGAAUUGUCUUUCUCAACAGUCUCUGGUUUAAAGAGUCUAAAGUCAGUCAACAAAGUUAACAAAAUGAGUUUUGAAAACAGGAAACUGGCAUGACUAUGCUGGCUUCUGAAAAUCCUCAAGGACAUUCACCUCAAAUUAUAAACUAGUGAAAUACAAG